UGCCAGGACCCAUGGAAUGCGGACUUACGAACCCCGCCAGGGCAGGAAUGCAGCAACGGCAGUUUGCUCUGCAUCCGCCGUGGUCAUCCUGGCAUUU
Molecule: signal recognition particle RNA, 97 nt
Filed under: Verrucomicrobiota bacterium
Lineage: Bacteria; Pseudomonadati; Verrucomicrobiota
Description: signal recognition particle sRNA small type
Rfam family: Bacterial small signal recognition particle RNA
About the family: The signal recognition particle (SRP) is a universally conserved ribonucleoprotein involved in the co-translational targeting of proteins to membranes. Archaeal SRP consists of a 7S RNA and homologues of the eukaryotic SRP19 and SRP54 proteins. In most bacteria, the SRP consists of a 4.5S RNA and the Ffh protein (a homologue of the eukaryotic SRP54 protein).
Source: RNAcentral